Molecule: long non-coding RNA, 151 nt
Organism: Drosophila gunungcola (fruit fly)
Lineage: Eukaryota; Metazoa; Arthropoda; Insecta; Diptera; Drosophilidae
Exons: 3
Source: RefSeq, a predicted model, not a curated record
AAAAUACAUGAAUCCAUAGUUGAUCUAGUCACAUCAAAUGGAUCUUACCUUUAAGGUUUGAACGAGCUCUGAAUAUGCUAAGAGUACUGACAGAGAAGGAGACAUUUAAGACUCUAAGAAAGCUCUGCCAGGGGAAGCGUCGCGACGCGAA